AAGGCACUUGGGCCCGCACAUGGCAGCCCAUGGAUGCACGCAUGACCAAGCCCACGCACAAUCACAAGCCAUGGACCCGGCAAAUCCUUCACUGUGGACCCCUUCAUCACCCGCACUUGCACGGGCCGCCACCUCACCAUUCCUUCACGUGGACCUGCACAUCACUCACGCCUCACCAUCCACACAUGGCCCAUUUCCUCGCACAAUCAAUUCACGCCCAAAUGGGCCAAAGCACAUUCAGCGCA
This 245-nucleotide long non-coding RNA is filed under the name Manihot esculenta (cassava). RNAcentral's name for it is "long non-coding RNA (MESC_LNC007180)". Lineage: Eukaryota; Viridiplantae; Streptophyta; Magnoliopsida; Malpighiales; Euphorbiaceae. The record is from RNAcentral.